RNAcentral lists this ribosomal RNA (489 nucleotides) under marine sediment bacterium ISA-3218. Its description in RNAcentral is "bacterial SSU rRNA". It matches the Rfam family "Bacterial small subunit ribosomal RNA", at positions 41 to 526 of the family's 1533-position model. The record is from RNAcentral.
GGCAGGCCUAACACAUGCAAGUCGAGGGGUAACAGGGAGCUUGCUCUGCUGACGACCGGCGCACGGGUGCGUAACGCGUAUGCAAUCUACCUUUUACAGGGGAAUAGCCCAGAGAAAUUUGGAUUAAUGCCUCAUAGUAUUAUUGACUGGCAUCGGUUAAUAAUUAAAGAUUUAUCGGUAAAAGAUGAGCAUGCGUUCUAUUAGCUAGAUGGUGUGGUAACGGCAUACCAUGGCAACGAUAGAUAGGGGGCCUGAGAGGGUUAUCCCCCACACUGGUACUGAGACACGGACCAGACUCCUACGGGAGGCAGCAGUGAGGAAUAUUGGACAAUGGAGGGAACUUCUGAUCCAGCCAUGCCGCGUGCAGGAAGACUGCCCUAUGGGUUGUAAACUGCUUUUAUACAGGAAGAAACACUCCCACGUGUGGGAAUUUGACGGUACUGUAAGAAUAAGGAUCGGCUAACUCCGUGCCAGCAGCCGCGGUAAUAC